GGCUGUCGUCAGCUCGUGUCGUGAGAUGUUGGGUUUAAGUCCCGGCAACGAGCGCAACCCUUGUCUUAAUUGCCAUCAUUCAGUUGGGCACUUUAAGAGACUGCCGGUGUUAAACCGGAGGAAGUGGGAUGACGUCAAGUCCUCAUGGCCUUUAUGCCCAGGGCUACACACGUGCUACAAUGGGUGGUACAAAGAGAUGCAAUCUCGCAAGAGCAAGCAAACCUCAAAAAGCCAUCCUCAGUUCGGAUUGGAGUCUGCAACUCGACUCCAUGAAGUCGGAAUCGCUAGUAAUCGCGGAUCAGCACGCCGCGGUGAAUAACGUUCCCGGGCCUU
This 333-nucleotide ribosomal RNA is filed under the name uncultured Syntrophus sp. RNAcentral's name for it is "bacterial SSU rRNA". It matches the Rfam family "Bacterial small subunit ribosomal RNA", at positions 1047 to 1382 of the family's 1533-position model. The record is from RNAcentral. Lineage: Bacteria; Pseudomonadati; Thermodesulfobacteriota; Syntrophia; Syntrophales; Syntrophaceae.